GAUGAACGCUAGCGGCAGGCCUAAUACAUGCAAGUCGAACGGGAUCUGAGGGUAGCUUGCUACCCGAUUUGAGAGUGGCGCACGGGUGCGUAACGCGUGAGCAACCUACCCAUAUCAGGGGGAUAGCUCGAAGAAAUUCGGAUUAACACCGCAUAAUAAUACGCUAACACAUGUUAAUGUAUUUAAAUAUUUAUAGGAUAUGGAUGGGCUCGCGUGACAUUAGCUAGUUGGUAAGGUAACGGCUUACUAAGGCGACGAUGUCUAGGGGGUCUGGAAGGAGGAUCGCCCACACUGGUACUGAGACACGGACCAGACUCCUACGGGAGGCAGCAGUAAGGAAUACUGGUCAAUGGGCGCAAGCCUGAACCAGCCAUGCCGCGUGCAGGAUGACUGCCCUAUGAGUUGUAAACUGCUUUUGUUAGGGAAUAAACCUACUUAUGUAUAAGUAGCUGAAUGUACCUAAAGAAUAAGGAUCGGCUAACUCCGUGCCAGCAGCCGCAGUAA
RNAcentral lists this ribosomal RNA (504 nucleotides) under uncultured bacterium. RNAcentral describes it as "partial 16S ribosomal RNA". It matches the Rfam family "Bacterial small subunit ribosomal RNA", at positions 28 to 523 of the family's 1533-position model. The record is from RNAcentral.